RNAcentral lists this long non-coding RNA (1036 nucleotides) under Xyrichtys novacula (pearly razorfish). Lineage: Eukaryota; Metazoa; Chordata; Actinopteri; Labriformes; Labridae. The record is from RNAcentral.
GUGAGUCAUACAUCCUCAGCUGUUUUGUGUUUUUAUUGACCCCCAGUGUUGUUCUCCUGCUCCAAUGGAUCUCCACUCGCCCAAACUCUUUGCCCAAAGAGGCAUUUAACCAUGGGUUGACCAGUAUUGUUUUUAAAUGCUAAUGUAACUACAAUUAUCAGAAGUUCAUGGAAAAACAGAUAUUUGCCGUAAAAAUGAAAAACCUGCUAUCAAAUUUAAGAGUUUGAAAUAUUACAAACUCCAACACAACUUUGCUUGAAAGCUGUUUGCAGAUGUUUAAAACGAAACGUUUGACAUCAUAUACAUGAGUAAACAAUUUAACAGUUGUACUUACAGUACAGUUACAUUACACCAUCAUCCAGCCAAUCAGAUAAUGUAGUGGUGGGACGUAAAACAAGACAAAAUUAGGGCAAGAAAAUAGACCCAAUAGGAAAAACCAUGAUGGCAGCAGAGCCAAUUAAGCACACUUUGAAUUGAUUUAUUAUUUAUUGGCCACCUGUAAAACAAGCAUAAACACCAAAAUGGCCUUGUGCCAAAUAUUGGUUGGGGCAGAUAAUUGAUGCAUCUGUCAAAGACACAGCAAGUAAUCAGUAAAACUGACUCAAAAUCAGUCCUGUUGAAGAAAUUUAGAAAAUUCAAACUCAAAUUUCCACACAACCUUACUUCGGUAUCUCCAGGCGUAUGUUGACAACAUCUGUGGUUCUGAUGCAUUUUCUUCCUCGGUCAUGUCUUCUUAUUCUUAUUCUUCACUUUCUGUCUCCACCCCUCAGAUGCAAAAUCAAGUCAAGGAAUUACUUUCUACCACUGCGCCCAUCUGUCUGGUCUCCUGGGCAAAGGUCCUGUGUUAUUUGGCUUUUUCAUGGUAACCGGCAGCUUUGACUUUCAUUUGGUUUUUUAUCUGUUUAACUAUCUGUCUAUGAAUUUCUUUAUCUACAUUAUGGGAAAAAAUUGAUAAAUUUCUUUAAUUGUUUCUGUUUCUUGCAAAAUGAUUUGUAUACAUUUUCAAGUGAACCUGAAAUAAAAUGAGUGAAUGUAG